This 500-nucleotide ribosomal RNA is filed under the name uncultured Alphaproteobacteria bacterium. RNAcentral describes it as "bacterial SSU rRNA". It matches the Rfam family "Bacterial small subunit ribosomal RNA", at positions 9 to 524 of the family's 1533-position model. Lineage: Bacteria; Pseudomonadati; Pseudomonadota; Alphaproteobacteria. The record is from RNAcentral.
GAGUUUGAUCAUGGCUCAGGAUUAACGCUAGCGGCAGGCCUAAUACAUGCAAGUCGAGGGGCAGCGGGUGUAGCAAUACAUGCCGGCGACCGGCGCACGGGUGCGUAACACGUAUGCAAUCUACCUAUAACCGGGGAAUAUCUCUUCGAAAGAAGAGUUAAUACCGCAUAACACUUCGAGGUGGCAUCACCAUGAAGUUAAACUUCCGGGGGUUAUAGAUGAGCAUGCGUUCGAUUAGAUAGUUGGCGGGGUAACGGCCCACCAAGUCGGCGAUCGAUGGGGGUUCUGAGAGGAUGAUCAGCCACACUGGGACUGAGACACGGCCCAGACUCCUACGGGAGGCAGCAGUAGGGAAUCUUGCGCAAUGGGCGAAAGCCUGACGCAGCCAUGCCGCGUGAAUGAUGAAGGUCUUAGGAUUGUAAAAUUCUUUCACCGGGGAAGAUAAUGACGGUACCCGGAGAAGAAGCCCCGGCUAACUUCGUGCCAGCCGCCGCCGUAAU